Molecule: ribosomal RNA, 255 nt
Filed under: Salmonella enterica subsp. enterica serovar Lubbock
Lineage: Bacteria; Pseudomonadati; Pseudomonadota; Gammaproteobacteria; Enterobacterales; Enterobacteriaceae
Description: partial 23S ribosomal RNA
Rfam family: Bacterial large subunit ribosomal RNA
Source: RNAcentral
CUGGAUUUUAUCAUCGGCGACCCUCAACACUGGCCCCAUCCGGUACGCUGGAUAGGUCGUUUAAUCACGUUUGUGCAGCGUAUUGUGCGUCGCUAUUGUCCCGGCGAUAAAGCGCUGCGGAUUGGCGUCGAACCGACUAAUGUUGAAAAAUUAGCGGAUGACCUGUGGCUGGGGGUGAAAGGCCAAUCAAACCGGGAGAUAGCUGGUUCUCCCCGAAAGCUAUUUAGGUAGCGCCUCGUGAAUUCAUCUCCGGGG